This 492-nucleotide ribosomal RNA is filed under the name uncultured bacterium. Its description in RNAcentral is "partial 16S ribosomal RNA". It matches the Rfam family "Bacterial small subunit ribosomal RNA", at positions 29 to 507 of the family's 1533-position model. The record is from RNAcentral.
AUUGAACGCUGGCGGCAUGCUUUACACAUGCAAGUCGAACGGUAACAGGCCUUCGGGUGCUGACGAGUGGCGUACGGGUGAGUAAUGCAUCGGAACGUACCCAGAGGUGGGGGAUAACGCAGCGAAAGCUGUGCUAAUACCGCAUGUGAUCUGAGGAUGAAAGCGGGGGACCGAGCAGCAAUGUUUGGCCUCGCGCCUUUGGAGCGGCCGAUGUCGGAUUAGCUAGUUGGUGGGGUAAAGGCCUACCAAGGCGACGAUCCGUAGCUGGUCUGAGAGGACGACCAGCCAGACGGGGAGUGAGACACGGCACAGACUCCUACGGGAGGCAGCAGUGGGGAAUUUUGGGCAAUGGGGGCAAGCCUGAUCCAGCAAUGCCGCGUGCGGGAAGAAGGCCUUCGGGUUGUAAACCGCUUUUGGCAGGAGCGAAACGGUGUCCGCUAGUACCGGACGCUAAUGACGGUACCUGCAGAAUAAGCACCGGCUAACUACGUG